ACUAGACCGAUAGUGUACAAGUACCGUGAGGGAAAGGUGAAAAGAACUGAGGUGAUCAGAGUGAAAUAGAACCUGAAACCAUUUGCUUACAAUCAUUCAGAGCCCUAUGAUUUAUCAGGGUGAUGGACUGCCUUUUGCAUAAUGAGCCUGCGAGUUGUGAUGUCUGGCAAGGUUAAGGAAACCCGGAGCCGUAGCGAAAGCGAGUCUUAAUAGGGCGUUUAGUCAGACGUUGCAGACCCGAAACGAUGUGAUCUAUCCAUGAGCAGGUUGAAACCGGUGUAAGAGCCGGUGGAGGACCGAACCCGCUAGCGUUGAAAAGCUAUGGGAUGACUUGUGGAUAGGGGUGAAAGGCCAAUCAAACAUCGUGAUAGCUGGUUCUCUCCGAAAUAUAUUUAGGUAUAGCGUCAUGUAGUAACACUAGGGGGUAGAGCACUGAAUGGGCUAGGGCAUACACCAAUGUACCAAACCCUAUCAAACUCCGAAUACCUAGUGUGUAAUCAUGGCAGUCAGGCGGCGAGUGAUAAAAUCCGUCGUCGAGAGGGGAACAACCCAGACUAACAGCUAAGGUCCCUAAAUCUCAUUUAAGUGGAAAACGAUGUGGAGUUACUUAAACAACCAGGAGGUUGGCUUAGAAGCAGCCAUCCUUUAAAGAAAGCGUAAUAGCUCACUGGUCUAGUGAUUCUGCGCGGAAAAUAUAACGGGGCUAAAAUGAGUACCGAAGCUUUAGACUUAGUUUUACUAAGUGGUAGGAGAGCGUUGUAUUUGCGUUGAAGGUAUACCGGUAAGGAGUGCUGGAGCGAAUACAAGUGAGCAUGCAGGCAUGAGUAGCGAUAAUUGGGGUGAGAAUCCCCAACGCCGUAAACCCAAGGUUUCCUACGCGAUGCUCGUCAUCGUAGGGUUAGCCGGGUCCUAAGCAAAGUCCGAAAGGGGUAUGCGAUGGAAAAUUGGUUAAUAUUCCAAUGCCAACUAUAAUGUGCGAUGGAAGGACGCUUAGAGUU
RNAcentral lists this ribosomal RNA (998 nucleotides) under Campylobacter concisus. RNAcentral describes it as "bacterial LSU rRNA". It matches the Rfam family "Bacterial large subunit ribosomal RNA", at positions 478 to 1483 of the family's 2925-position model. Lineage: Bacteria; Pseudomonadati; Campylobacterota; Epsilonproteobacteria; Campylobacterales; Campylobacteraceae. The record is from RNAcentral.